GUCCCUGUAGAGUAAUGAAUAGCGCGUUGGACUUCUAAACCAAAGGUCAUGGGUUCGAAUCCCAUCUGGGAUG
RNAcentral lists this transfer RNA (73 nucleotides) under Trichonephila inaurata madagascariensis. It matches the Rfam family "tRNA". Rfam says of the family: Transfer RNA (tRNA) molecules are approximately 80 nucleotides in length. Their secondary structure includes four short double-helical elements and three loops (D, anti-codon, and T loops). The record is from Rfam by way of RNAcentral. Lineage: Eukaryota; Metazoa; Arthropoda; Arachnida; Araneae; Nephilidae.